Molecule: ribosomal RNA, 1358 nt
Filed under: metagenome
Description: bacterial LSU rRNA
Rfam family: Bacterial large subunit ribosomal RNA
Source: RNAcentral
AACCUGGUGGUAGUGACGAAUUUCAAAGUUUGUUCGAACUUAUUGGAUUGUUCGGGCGGGUAAUGAGGUUCCAGGAAAUAGCUCCACCGUAUAGACCGUACCCGAAACCGACACAGGUGGGAUGGUAGAGUAUACCAAGGCGCUUGAGAGAAGGAUGUUGAAGGAACUCGGCAAAUUACUUGCGUAACUUCGGGAUAAGCAAGCCCAAUGCGAAGGCAACUUUGUAUUGGGGGCACAACCCAGGGGGUAGCGACUGUUUAUCAAAAACACAGGGCUCUGCUAAGUCGUAAGACGAAGUAUAGGGUCUGACGCCUGCCCGGUGCCGGAAGAUUAAAAGGAGGAGUUAACGCUCUGAAUUGAAGUCCCGGUAAACGGCGGCCGUAACAAUAACGGUCCUAAGGUAGCGAAAUUCCUUGUCGGGUAAGUUCCGACCUGCACGAAUGGCGUAACGACUUCCCCGCUGUCUCCAACAUUCACUCAGCGAAAUUGAAUUCCCCGUGAAGAUGCGGGGUGCCCGUGGUUAGACGGAAAGACCCCAUGAACCUUUACUGUAGCUUCGCAAUGGCAUUAGGAAAUGCAUGUGUAGAAUAGGUGGGAGACUUUGAAGCCCGGCGCUAGCCGCGGUGGAGUCUUCAGUGAAAUACCACCCUUGCCUUUUCUGGUGUCUAACCGUGGCCCGUUAUCCGGGUCCGAGACAUUGCGUGGUGGGCAGUUUGACUGGGGCGGUCGCCUCCCAAAGAGUAACGGAGGCGCGCGAUGGUAAGCUCAGGUUGGUCGGAAAUCAACCAGCGAGUGCAAUGGCAGAAGCUUGCCUGACUGUGAGACUGACAAGUCGAGCAGAGUCGAAAGACGGUCAUAGUGAUCCGGUGGUUCUGAAUGGAAGGGCCAUCGCUCAACGGAUAAAAGGUACUCUGGGGAUAACAGGCUGAUAGCGCCCAAGCGUCCAUAGCGACGGCGCUGUUUGGCACCUCGAUGUCGACUCAUCACAUCCUGGGGCUGGAGCAGGUCCCAAGGGUAUGGCUGUUCGCCAUUUAAAGUGGUACGUGAGUUGGGUUCAGAACGUCGUGAGACAGUUUGGUCCCUAUCUGCCAUGGGUGUAGGAUUAUUGAGAGGAGCUGCCCUUAGUACGAGAGGACCGGGGUGGACGUACCUCUGGUGUACCGGUUAUAGCGCCAGCUGUAGCGCCGGGUAGCUAUGUACGGACGGGAUAACCGCUGAAAGCAUCUAAGCGGGAAGCCUCCCUCAAAACAAGUAAUCCCUAUCAGGGCCGUGGAAGACUACCACGUUGAUAGGCCAGGUGUGGAAGACCCGUAAGGGUUGAAGCUAACUGGUACUAAUUGCCCGAAAAAAAAAAAAUA